Long non-coding RNA from Ictalurus punctatus (channel catfish), 2727 nucleotides. RefSeq lists it as uncharacterized. The transcript is spliced from 2 exons. Lineage: Eukaryota; Metazoa; Chordata; Actinopteri; Siluriformes; Ictaluridae. The record is from RefSeq and is a predicted model, not a curated record.
UCUCUCUCUCUCUCUCUCUUUCUCGCUGUCUUUCUCUCUCUCUCUCUCUCGCUGUCUUUCUCUCUCUCUCUCUCUUUUUCUCUCUUUUUCUGUCUUUCUUUCUCUCUCUCUCUUUCUCUCUUUUUCUGUCUUUCUCUCUUUCUCUUUUUCUGUCUGUCUUUCUCUCUCUCUCUUUUUCUUUUCCUCUUUCUCUUUCUGUCUUUUUCCCUGUCUUUUUUUCUCUGUCGCUCUUUCUCUGUAUCUCUUUCUGUCUGUCUUUCUCUCUCUCUCUUUUUCUCUGUAUCUCUUUCUGUCUUUCUCUAUUUUUCUCUUUCUAUCUGUCUUUGUCUCUCUCUUUUUGUUUUUCUUUGUCUCUCUUUCUCUUUCUGUCUUUCUCUCUUUUUCUGUCACUCUUUCUGUCUCUCUCUCUUUCUCUCUUUCUGUAUCUCUCUGUCUGACUCUCUCUCUCCCUCUCCCUCUAACUCUGUGUGUCUGUUUCUGAGUGUGUGUGAGUGUCAGUGAAGUGGUGUGUGUGUGUGUGUGUGUGUGUGUGUGUGUGUGUGUGUGUGUGUGUGUGUGUGUUAAUUUGGCUAGAUGUCACACUCAAUGAUGGACUGAUAAAAGAGAGAUAGAAAACCAGUGGACUGACUUCCUUCCUUCCUUUCUUUCUUUCCUUUAAUUGAGUUCACCCCACUCCUUUCUCUCUCUCUCUCUCUCUCUCUCUCUCUCUCUCUCUCUCUGGUGGUCAGUGUGAUUAUAUCGGUGUGACCUGCUCAGUGUUUAGUGUUUGCUUAGGGUUUGACAUCAGGAAGUCCUUUAUUGACGUCCGUCCCUCCAGGGGGCGGAAAAAGAGGGAGGGGGUAGACGCCUGAAAGGUUAUUUUGUGUGUGUGUGUGUGUGUGUGUGUGUGUGUGUGUGCGUGCAGAUGUCUAAACGAAAGCCGAUUGAAAAAAAGGAAAAAGCCCGUAAACCGUAAAGUAAUUUCAUUCCCUGAUUAUAAAUCUGAUUUGAUGAAUCGUUCGCGUGAGUCAUUUAGAAUUUUAUAGUGAAUCGGGGUUCCCCCCCCCCUACUUCUGAGUCCUGUUUGGAAACCAUGUUUAGAUAGAGUGCUGAAGCACGUGCCCUUGUGUCCCCUACUUCAUCAUAUACAUCGACACGACAAAACUUCCUCCAAAACGGCGAAGGAGUCGUUUGGGAGCUGAAAGACUUGACUCUUAUAGGUGCACCGAGUCAAAUGAUCCGAUUCGCAGAAAAGAGUGUUACUCUCUUCCCAUUAGUAUUUGCAUUAUUUAACUUGCAUCUAUUUCAAUUUCGACUCCACUUUGUCGCAUCGCUAGCCCCGCCCACUUCGCGUCACUGACGGACUGCUGUUCACAGGAAGCUCGCAGGGAUUACGAUAUCGCGUAUCGGGAUACCGAUUAUACGAUCAUUUCACUCGUUCUUACGUGCAAGAGCGAGGCGUAGAUGAUUAUGAAAAAAAAAAACACACACACACGAAAAUGAUAAUUCCUCAAAUGAUAAUGAGGCAACAAAAAACAACUCAAUGAUACAUAAUUAUCAAAUUAUCACAUUUUCUGCUCUGUAAUAACCAAACCUAUUUUUUAUGGCCUAUUUUUCUGGUUUUAGCACAUAAUAAUAAUUUUCCUCCUGACCAUCUGGCACAUUAAUGGUGAAAAAUUGUGAAAGGAUAAAAAAAAAGGACCCUCCCAAAUAAGGAGCGUUCGUGCUGUAGCACAUUUAUCCAGCAGAUGGGAAAGGACUAAAUUAACGUGGGGGAAAAUCAGGUUUUAAUAAGCACUCUGUAACACGCCGAGGCGCCUUCGACGGAAAUGUUACGGUGUAUAUGUUUAUAACCGAGUCCCAGCUUUCCACACAGCGUUCCGCUUUAAUUCGUGUUUUCCCAGAUCUGACUCAUCAGUUAAAAUUCUUGGAAGAGACGUUCGCAUUCCUGCCUGCUCGGAUCGGACCGGCGUCUCGUCGCAGGCUUUGACAAGAUCGGAUUUUUUUCCAGGCAUUUUAUCAGAUAACAUUUUUCUCUCUCGCUCUCUCUAAGUGCUGUACAUUCUGGGUCAGAUCUGGCGCUGAUAGCGGGAUGUUUUGUCUCUACGCGGUGUCUCAUACUCAUACACACAUCUCGGUAAUAAUCAGUUCUACCAUCCUCCCUCAUCCUCCUCCAGCGGCGGACUAAUUGGAGCGAGUCUGUGUUCUGAAAUUUGUUUUUGUAUAAUUGAUGUUUUGUCUCGCUGUAAUUACGGAUCUGGAGCUGCGUUUCCAUAAAAGCGGGAUUGACUGAGCUGCUUGGAAAACAACAGAUUUGGAAGACGACGGCACAUUACGGCGUUAAUCACCUUCCGAAUCAAACGGUGUGUGACGAGCCUGAUGGAGGAGCUGCUUACACACGCCGAAAUGGCCGUGUUUGGACUUCCAGUUCUCCGUUUGUGUUUUGUUUUGUUUUUUUGACUGCUCCAGGGGCUCGUUCUCUAACUGAGAUGUUGUAUUAGCAAGAAAAAGUGUGCAUGGGUAUGUGUGUGUGGGUAUGUGCGUGUGUGUGUGUGUGUGUGUGUGUGUGUGUGUGUGUGUGUUUCUGCAGACUGUUUAUGCCCAGGUCCCUCCAUUACGCCAGACCAAAUGGUUAUUUUCAGAAACCGCACAAAUCUGAACAUUGUCCUUUCACAUAAAGAUAUGUUUAAUAGGUUUAUGAGUAAAGUCCAAAGGAUUCACAGCCCAUUAUAUAAAAGCCCCCCCCCC